This 254-nucleotide ribosomal RNA is filed under the name uncultured bacterium. RNAcentral describes it as "partial 16S ribosomal RNA". It matches the Rfam family "Bacterial small subunit ribosomal RNA", at positions 524 to 776 of the family's 1533-position model. The record is from RNAcentral.
UACGUAGGGUGCGAGCGUUGUCCGGAAUUAUUGGGCGUAAAGAGCUCGUAGGCGGUGUGUCACGUCGGCCGUGAAAACCUGCAGCUUAACUGUGGGCGUGCGGUCGAUACGGGCAUCACUGGAGUUCGGCAGGGGAGACUGGAAUUCAUGGUGUAGCAGUGAAAUGCGCAGAUAUCAGGAGGAACACCGGUGGCGAAGGCGGGUCUCUGGGCCGAUACUGACGCUGAGGAGCGAAAGCGUGGGGAGCGAACAGG